Hemicordylus capensis (graceful crag lizard) is the source of this 877-nucleotide long non-coding RNA. RefSeq lists it as uncharacterized. The transcript has 4 exons. NCBI's taxonomy places the organism in Eukaryota, Metazoa, Chordata, Lepidosauria, Squamata, Cordylidae. The record is from RefSeq and is a predicted model, not a curated record.
UCCUCCAGCAGGGCUGUUCUUUUGUUCUUAUGUGGUGUGGUGUCUGCGGAGUCAGUGGGGACAAUGGUGGUGUACAGUUUUGUGUGGAAAUUGUACCUUGGAUCUGUUCCAUGUGGUGAUGCCAGAUGACAUCAAGUGCAACUGAGACAUCGCGGACCUCUCACUGCCAGGACAGUACCUGGAGUCCACUUGUCCUUACCAUGGAAAUGGCAUUGAUUCUCGAAAUGCCUGCCUACAUGCAGUAAUGGGCUGGAUGAGAGAGAACUAACUGAAGCUGAAUCCAAGCAAGACAGAAGUGCUCAUUGUGGGGGCUCAGAAUCUGACGGAAAAGGUGGGUUUUGAAGAGGAAUUUGAAGAAAAAGUGACAGCAUCAUGUGGAACAAAGUCCCAGGCAUAAAGACAGCAAAAGAGCGGGGAUCAUUUGAGGGAGCAGGAGAUCUUUGCUGAGGGUGGUGAAGCUGGAGAAGCAAAGGUCAUGGGCAGAAAUAUAAAGAAAAUUGAAGUAAAACAAAACAAAACAACAGCAACAGCAACAGCAACACUUAGAGGGUGCUUUCAAAUGUUGCACAGAACCUCACUUGAAGCCAAAGUGAUCUGCACAUCAGGAGCAUGUGCUCCCCACUCCCAUACCCAUGAGACUGCUUACUUCUUCUCUAGGUUAGGAUAUGUCAAGAUUGGUUGCAACAUCCAGACUCACCAAGAAAGCCACUCGCUGCCUCUUUGGUGCCGCGGCUCGUUUGUCCCAGCCCCAUUCUCCAGGAGCAAGCGGGGCUGGGAGCUCCUCCUGAUUGGCCCCGGCCACUUCCGGGGGCGGGGCCAGAAGAGCUGAGCCAGCAACGCGCCUGUGCUGGCUCAGUCUGACUCUUGGCUGCAGAGA